This 611-nucleotide ribosomal RNA is filed under the name Blastocystis sp. RNAcentral describes it as "partial small subunit ribosomal RNA". It matches the Rfam family "Eukaryotic small subunit ribosomal RNA", at positions 32 to 596 of the family's 1831-position model. Lineage: Eukaryota; Bigyra; Opalinata; Blastocystidae. The record is from RNAcentral.
UUUAUCUGGUUUUUAUGGUCUGUAUUCACACUGGUUUUACACUCUUUUCUAAAAGUAUGACCCAUAUGUGUGAAUGUAAAUAGUGUUAGUGUGAGAAGGCUCAAAGGUCUUUAUAUAUCUUUUAGAUUUUAUUUGAUAUUGUGUAUAUGGGUAAAACUUGUAGAAUUUAAGGGGAAAACACGUGUUUUUUUUUUGGGGGGGACCCAUUAAAAGAAUAUUUUUUUAGACAUAAACUCUUUUUGUUAAUGUGAAGAAUUAUUAUUUGUUGACGUUUAUCGCAUCCUUUGUAGUAGUAGCGAUGUUCCUUUCAAGUUUCUGCCCUAUCAGCUUUCGAUGGUAGUGUAUUGGACUACCAUGGCAGUAACGGGUAACGAAGAAUUUGGGUUCGAUUUCGGAGAGGGAGCCUGAGAGAUGGCUCCCACAUCCAAGGAAGGCAGCAGGCGCGUAAAUUACCCAAUCCUGACACAGGGAGGUAGUGACAAUAAAUCUCAAUAGGAAUCCUUGGGUUUUGUAAUUGAAUUGAGAACAAAAAGCGAUCGUUAUCGAUAAACAAUUGGAGGGCAAGUCUGGUGCCAGCAGCCGCUAUUUGUGUUAUAUCUUGCUGUCCCCUU